RNAcentral lists this ribosomal RNA (508 nucleotides) under uncultured bacterium. RNAcentral's name for it is "partial 16S ribosomal RNA". It matches the Rfam family "Bacterial small subunit ribosomal RNA", at positions 30 to 523 of the family's 1533-position model. The record is from RNAcentral.
AUUGAACGCUGGCGGCAUGCCUUACACAUGCAAGUCGAACGGCAGCGGGGGAGAAGCUUGCUUUUCCUGCCGGCGAGUGGCGAACGGGUGAGUAAUACAUCGGAACGUGCCCUGUAGUGGGGGAUAACUAGUCGAAAGAUUAGCUAAUACCGCAUACGACCUGAGGGUGAAAGUGUGGGACCGCAAGGCCUCAUGCUAUAGGAGCGGCCGAUGUCUGAUUAGCUAGUUGGUGGGGUAAAGGCCUACCAAGGCGACGAUCAGUAGCUGGGCUGGGAGGACGAUAAGCCAAGCUGGGACUGAGACACGGACCAGACUCCUACGGGAGGCAGCAGUGGGGAAUUUUGGACAAUGGGCGAAAGCCUGAUCCAGCAAUGCCGCGUGUGUGAAGAAGGCCUUCGGGUUGUAAAGCACUUUUGUCCGGAAAGAAAUGGCUCUGGUUAAUACCUGGGGUCGAUGACGGUACCGGAAGAAUAAGGACCGGCUAACUACGUGCCAGCCGCCGCUGUAA